UUUCUUUCACUUUCUCUCUUUUUUUUUCCCUCUUUUUGUGGUAACCCUUUUACCUUCUUUUCCCCUGCUUAGACCCAUUAGCAGGAUGUUGUGCAAUAUGGUGCUUGUCAUCUGUUUCAAAGACACAGUGAUGAGAUACAGCUCCAUUCUGUUAUGUGUUUCCUGCACUGCCUACAGUGAUUGCACUUAGCGUGGAUGCUAUGGGGGAGGGAAUAUGGAAGGCAAGAAGGUAAAGGAAGGACUUCUGUGGAAUCUGCAUGAGCUGAAACACGACAAAGGCUGAAGUGAUAAAAUAAGUGACAGGAGGAAUAGAAGAGAGGAGCAAGUUAAAGUCCAGGUCCUGAGUGAUAAGAGACACCCUCAGCAUGGAGCUCUGAUGCUUAGAUCACAGGAGGAAAGUAGGAUGCCGGUACCACAGAAGUAGUGUGCUCCAAACUUCAGGCUGUACCUACUGGCUGGGGAUGAAAUCUGCCUCCAGGCCUACGCUCCCCAAGCACCCUCAAAAUCAACACUUUGCCCUGCUCAUCCCCAGAUACACAGAAAGCCUGGGCAAGGGAAAUCCUCCCGGAUGAAACAUGGGAAGCUCCUGCUGUUGAACCUGUAAGACCUUACAGCUCCUCGUGUGUCUGCUUGCUAUGGCUGCGUAGGAGCUGCUCACCUGAUUGCUAAGGAUGAAAUCAGGAAGGAAUUCUUUCCCUCCAUCUGAUGACAAAGGCUGCUUCUUUCACCUUCUGUGAUUUAAGGCUUGGUCUCCCUCCUGGAUGUGUUCACAACCACACUCCCUGCUGUUGUUGGGACCUGAUACGUCAACACGGCUCUUGACCUCUCCUCAUUGAAAUGUAUCUCAAAAGUCAACGUCCUUUUGUAGGCAAACCUUCCCCGCCUGGCAAAUAGGGAAUUUUGCCCUCCUUAACGAGAGCUACGCUAUCUGAUGGCUGCCUGAUGAAGUAGGAGCUCAAGGAGGCCACCUCUACACUGAACAAUCCCAUACAUCAGAGGCCACCCCUUUGAAUUCAACAGUUUUUCUGGUGCUAAGAGAGAAUAUUGAAAACCUGGCCUUAAAUCACACUUUUCAAGUAAUACGCAGCAAUGAAUGGAAGAGAAAAGGAAGCCAGGAUGCUUAUAGGAUUUAAGGAGCUUCUUUUGAAAGAAGAAUCCACCCUGCUGCUGAUGGCCAGAUGCUCAUCUAUGCCUGGAGAUGUGCAAAUAAACAUAAGGUGUAAAGCUGUUAGCGGUGGUUCAUGGCAACAGACUAACUCCUGUCAAGGAAAAGCAGGUUAGGUAAACUUUUCAGGUGUUUGGAGGUGAAUCUUUUCAUUUGUGCACAGCCCUUGGUUGACCCAACUAUUUCACAUCAUUACCAAUUGCUUUGUUCGUAUGUAUCAAACUUCUUUCUUGUGCUUUAUUGGUUUUUGCUCUCACUGACCUCUUCCAGCAGUUUACUUUCUAACAUCCUGAAAGCUUCAUCAUGACUGCUCAGUGCACCUCACCCAGGGCUGAGAUUAAAAGUUAAAAAAAGAGAAAGAGUGAACACAACGGGAGAGAAAACAGAAGAGAUUUUGGCAGCAACCUGGUGACACUCUGAAGUAAGUGAAAUGGGAUGGGUAACCACCUGGAAUAAUGGCAGGGGGAAAAAGAGAGAGAAGAAGCUCAGUGAAUUGGCUCAAACAGCAGGGCCUGGGCAAGAGGAUUAGGGGAAAUAGCAGUGUGAGCAGACCUCAGGAAUGGAGAAAGCAGAAAGCAUAUCAUCUCAGCUCUCUGUUCCAAAGAGAGGUGCCAAGACCAGUUAAAAAAAUGGAAUAUGGGCUUGUCUGAAUCACAACACAGAGCCCCAGUUCCUCGUAUCCAAUGGCUGCUUCUUUCCCAAACUAAAACUUCUAAGGUGCAAGAGAAGUCACAGAGUUAUCCAAAGUGAGAGGAGGAAGGAGAGAAAGUGGAAAUUAAACGGGAGAGCAAAUCUGCUUUCCACAUCUUACCGCAGCUGCAGGACACUUUGCUGUAGCACGGCCAGCAGAACAUCAAUAAUAUCCAUCCCCAGGGGUGCCUCAGAGUGACAUUUGUGGCCUCCCUCUGCACACUGGGGUGUGGGGGACAGAAGGAGGUGAGAGUAUGUCAGCCUGGCCAAAGCUCACUCAGGCUGAACCCAGGACCUUCUGCCAUUUCUAUUCCGGGAACUCACCGCGGGGUUAUGUUUGGGUUGCCUAAACAGAACGUUGCUGCCAUUGAUGGAGGAUAAACAUUUUAUUCAGUAGCAGCGGGGGGAGAUUUGGGAGUCUGACUCUGCUCUGAAUGCGGGUGACAAUUGAAACAUUCAGUACGCUUGCCAGGAAAUAUCUCAAGAUUCAUUUAGUGUCAAUAAUAGAAAAAAAUAUAUAUAUAUUUUGA
Molecule: long non-coding RNA, 2385 nt
Organism: Lagopus leucura (white-tailed ptarmigan)
Lineage: Eukaryota; Metazoa; Chordata; Aves; Galliformes; Phasianidae
Exons: 5
Source: RefSeq, a predicted model, not a curated record